ACGAACGCUGGCGGCGUGCCUAAUACCUGCAAGUAGAACGCUGAAGAGAGGAGCUUGCUCUUCUUGGAUGAGUUGCGAACGGGUGAGUAACGCGUAGGUAACCUGCCUUGUAGCGGGGGAUAACUAUUGGAAACGAUAGCUAAUACCGCAUAACAAUGGAUGACACAUGUCAUUUAUUUGAAAGGGGCAAUUGCUCCACUACAAGAUGGACCUGCGUUGUAUUAGCUAGUAGGUGAGGUAAUGGCUCACCUAGGCGACGAUACAUAGCCGACCUGUGAGGGUGAUCGGCCACACUGGGACUGGGACACGGCCCAGACUCCUACGGGGGGCAGCAGUAGGGAAUCUUCGGCAAUGGGGGCAACCCUGACCGAGCAACGCCGCGUGAGUGAAGAAGGUUUUCGGAUCGUAAAGCUCUGUUGUAAGUCAAGAACGGGUGUGAGAGUGGAAAGUUCACACUGUGACGGUAGCUUACCAGAAAGGGACGGCUAACUACGUG
Molecule: ribosomal RNA, 496 nt
Filed under: uncultured bacterium
Lineage: Bacteria
Description: partial 16S ribosomal RNA
Rfam family: Bacterial small subunit ribosomal RNA
Source: RNAcentral